RNAcentral lists this ribosomal RNA (860 nucleotides) under Lentithecium pseudoclioninum. RNAcentral describes it as "SSU rRNA". It matches the Rfam family "Eukaryotic small subunit ribosomal RNA", at positions 76 to 946 of the family's 1831-position model. The record is from RNAcentral. Lineage: Eukaryota; Fungi; Ascomycota; Dothideomycetes; Pleosporales; Lentitheciaceae.
AUACCGUGAAACUGCGAAUGGCUCAUUAAAUCAGUUAUCGUUUAUUUGAUAGUACCUUACUACUUGGAUAACCGUGGUAAUUCUAGAGCUAAUACAUGCUGAAAACCCCGACUUCGGAAGGGGUGUAUUUAUUAGAUAAAAAACCAAUGCCCUCCGGGGCUCCUUGGUGAUUCAUAAUAACUUCUCAGAUCGCAUGGCCUUGCGCCGGCGACGGUUCAUUCAAAUUUCUGCCCUAUCAACUUUCGAUGGUAAGGUAUUGGCUUACCAUGGUUUCAACGGGUAACGGGGAAUUAGGGUUCGAUUCCGGAGAGGGAGCCUGAGAAACGGCUACCACAUCCAAGGAAGGCAGCAGGCGCGCAAAUUACCCAAUCCCGACACGGGGAGGUAGUGACAAUAAAUACUGAUACAGGGCUCUUUUGGGUCUUGUAAUUGGAAUGAGUACAAUUUAAACCUCUUAACGAGGAACAAUUGGAGGGCAAGUCUGGUGCCAGCAGCCGCGGUAAUUCCAGCUCCAAUAGCGUAUAUUAAAGUUGUUGCAGUUAAAAAGCUCGUAGUUGAACCUUUGGCCUGGCUGGCAGGUCCGCCUCACCGCGUGCACUUGUCCGGCCGGGCCUUCUCUUCUGGAGAACCGCAUGCCCUUCACUGGGUGUGUUGGGGACCAGGACUUUUACUUUGAAAAAAUUAGAGUGUUCAAAGCAGGCCUUUGCUCGAAUACGUUAGCAUGGAAUAAUAGAAUAGGACGUGCGGUCCUAUUUUGUUGGUUUCUAGGACCGCCGUAAUGAUUAAUAGGGACAGUCGGGGGCAUCAGUAUUCAAUUGUCAGAGGUGAAAUUCUUGGAUUUAUUGAAGACUAACUACUGC